This 461-nucleotide long non-coding RNA is filed under the name Felis catus (domestic cat). RNAcentral describes it as "lncRNA (ENSFCAG00000043836.2)". The record is from RNAcentral. Lineage: Eukaryota; Metazoa; Chordata; Mammalia; Carnivora; Felidae.
GAUGGUCUUUUGGUAAAUGGAUAUCACUUACUCAGGAAGACCUUACAACCAUUUCUCCUCUUCUAUCUGCACAGUGAGAGUAAGAAUGCUUGUUCUACAUAACUGGAAGCUCAAAGGAGAUGGUAGAUAUGAAGGUUCUCCUGAUUUGGAGAAGAGCGAGAAAUGCCCAGCUCAGAACCUUGGAGACAGUGCCAGCGAUGGAAGAAGAGAAGUUGUCGGGAGAAAGUGAACAAAUGAGGGAUGUUCUGAAGUUCUUGCCUGCUGUGUGCCUAAGCACUACCCACCCCGUGUCUCUUUCUGUGGACCUGGUCUACUUGUAUCCAUGUGCCUUCCUUUCUUCUCCAUCUUCCUUUUUGCUCCUGUCUUCCCUGUUCCCUUCCUCCAUCUCCCUCCCUGCACACCGUCCUUUCUCCUCCUCUCUUACUUUAUCCUCAAGAGUAUUAUUAGUUUUUAUGCAAUAA